UCUCUGCAACUGGUCCACCCUCACCACAAGGGUUUGGACGCAUGAAGAGCCAGAGAAGCAUCCCAGUUAUCCGACUAGCUCCAGUUUUGGUCCCUCCUGCCCCUGAGGGCAUCUCGGCUCCCACUCAUCCACCUCCUCCUGCGUACUGCCUUGCCCCUCGCUGAAAGCCCCAUGGGACCUGCGAUGCACUUUGACUUCUCCAGCAGGAAAGACAGAGCUAAGCAGCUACCAAAGCAUUAUUUAUUUACCCAUGGGCACUGAUGACCUGCAAAUGAGGAAUGAGCCUGGGUGCAUGCUGCCUGCCCUUCCCUCCACCCCCAGGAAGGUGGUGGGAUGCAAGCCCGGGGCAAUCAGCAGGACCUGCUGGCAACAGAAAACCACACUCAUGGAAGUAUUAUCCAAGUGCACAUGUGGAAUAAGCUAUGGAGAAGCUUUUCCUGCUCCUUUGCCUCCAUUUAUUUGUCUGGUGUGGACUGCAGCUCUCAUCUGCUUCAGAUCAAGCCUUCAGUGAUGAGGUCCUGAGGUUAGCUGGGGCUUCUGCCUACUGCUACCAUGCAAAUUAUAGAUCGAAUGAAAAAAAACAGUCAAAAGAUAUUUUCACACACAGCAGAGCUAUUU
This 618-nucleotide long non-coding RNA is filed under the name Anser brachyrhynchus (Pink-footed goose). RNAcentral's name for it is "lncRNA (ENSABRG00000004988.1)". The record is from RNAcentral. Lineage: Eukaryota; Metazoa; Chordata; Aves; Anseriformes; Anatidae.